Molecule: ribosomal RNA, 253 nt
Filed under: uncultured bacterium
Lineage: Bacteria
Description: partial 16S ribosomal RNA
Rfam family: Bacterial small subunit ribosomal RNA
Source: RNAcentral
UACGUAGGGGGCAAGCGUUGUCCGGAUUUAUUGGGCGUAAAGAGCGUGUAGGCGGCUUGGUAGGUCCGCUGUGAAAACUCGAGGCUCAACCUCGAGAUGUCGGCGGAAACCACUUGGCUAGAGUCCGGAAGAGGAGAGUGGAAUUCCUGGUGUAGCGGUGAAAUGCGCAGAUAUCAGGAAGAACACCUAUGGUGAAGGCAGCUCUCUGGGACGGUACUGACGCUGAGACGCGAAAGCGUGGGGAGCGAACAGG